GCCAGCAGCCAUAUCACCCUGCAACUCACAACUGGCAACCCACUGAAGCUAAGCAGGUGUGAGCCUGGUCAGUACCUGGAUGAGAGACCUCCUGGGAAAGGUUGCUGUUGGAA
Ribosomal RNA from Lepisosteus oculatus (spotted gar), 113 nucleotides. The record is from Ensembl. NCBI's taxonomy places the organism in Eukaryota, Metazoa, Chordata, Actinopteri, Semionotiformes, Lepisosteidae.